This 30-nucleotide non-coding RNA is filed under the name Rattus norvegicus (Norway rat). Lineage: Eukaryota; Metazoa; Chordata; Mammalia; Rodentia; Muridae. The record is from RNAcentral.
UAGGAUGCCUCAGGCUGUCUGAAACUUAUG